RNAcentral lists this transfer RNA (76 nucleotides) under Emticicia sp. Its description in RNAcentral is "tRNA-Phe". It matches the Rfam family "tRNA". Rfam says of the family: Transfer RNA (tRNA) molecules are approximately 80 nucleotides in length. Their secondary structure includes four short double-helical elements and three loops (D, anti-codon, and T loops). RNAcentral also lists the same sequence under 7 other names. The record is from RNAcentral. Lineage: Bacteria; Pseudomonadati; Bacteroidota; Cytophagia; Cytophagales; Leadbetterellaceae.
GGUAAUGUAGCUCAGUUGGUAGAGCAAAGGACUGAAAAUCCUUGUGUCGGCGGUUCGAUUCCGUCCAUUACCACCA